This 376-nucleotide ribosomal RNA is filed under the name uncultured bacterium. RNAcentral describes it as "bacterial SSU rRNA". It matches the Rfam family "Bacterial small subunit ribosomal RNA", at positions 524 to 898 of the family's 1533-position model. The record is from RNAcentral.
UACAGAGGGGGCAAGCGUUAUUCGGAAUUAUUGGGCGUAAAGGGCGCGUAGGCGGUUUUUUAAGUAGGAUGUGUAAUCCCCGGGCUUAACCUGGGAACUGCAUCCUAGACUGGAAGACUUGAGUACUGGAGAGGGUGGUAGAAUUCCACGUGUAGCGGUGAAAUGCGUAGAGAUGUGGAGGAAUACCAGUGGCGAAGGCGGCCACCUGGACAGUAACUGACGCUGAGGCGCGAAAGUGUGGGUAGCAAACAGGAUUAGAUACCCUGGUAGUCCACGCUGUAAACGAUGAACACUUGGUGUGGUGGGAGUUGACCCCUGCCGUGCCGGAGCUAACGCGUUAAGUGUUCCGCCUGGGGAGUACGGUCGCAAGGCUGAA